AUACGUAGGGUGCAAGCGUUAAUCGGAAUUACUGGGCGUAAAGCGUGCGCAGGCGGUUUUGUAGGACAGUGGUGAAAUCCCCGGGCUCAACCUGGGAACUGCCAUUGUGACUGCAAGGCUGGAGUGCGGCAGAGGGGGAUGGAAUUCCGCGUGUCGCAGUGAAAUGCGUAGAUAUGCGGAGGAACACCGAUGGCGAAGGCAAUCCCCUGGGCCUGCACUGACGCUCAUGCACGAAAGCGUGGGGAGCAAACAGGAUUAGAUACCCUGGUAGUCCACGCCCUAAACGAUGUCAACUGGUUGUUGGGGAUUUAUUUUCUCAGUAACGAAGCUAACGCGUGAAGUUGACCGCCUGGGGAGUACGGCCGCAAGGUUGUAACUCAAAUGAAUUGGCGGGG
RNAcentral lists this ribosomal RNA (395 nucleotides) under uncultured bacterium. RNAcentral describes it as "partial 16S ribosomal RNA". It matches the Rfam family "Bacterial small subunit ribosomal RNA", at positions 523 to 918 of the family's 1533-position model. The record is from RNAcentral.